Vicia faba (fava bean) is the source of this 210-nucleotide non-coding RNA. The record is from the annotation of a GenBank genome assembly. Lineage: Eukaryota; Viridiplantae; Streptophyta; Magnoliopsida; Fabales; Fabaceae.
AUGUUUUCACAUGGUAUCAAGAGCCUCCCUCGUUUAAGAUUCGGUGGGCCACCUGCUAUCAGGUUUCCGCUAUCGGGCCAUCCACCAUUUAUUUCCACCCAACACAUGUUUUCACACACUCAAUGGGUGGACAAUUGUAUAUACGCAAUGGGUAGACAAUAUGCAUGCACGGCUAAUAUGCAUGCGCAUGAGAUAUAUAAAAAACAUUAA